This 405-nucleotide ribosomal RNA is filed under the name uncultured bacterium. RNAcentral's name for it is "partial 16S ribosomal RNA". It matches the Rfam family "Bacterial small subunit ribosomal RNA", at positions 28 to 526 of the family's 1533-position model. The record is from RNAcentral.
GAUGAACGCUGGCGGCGUGCCUAAUACAUGCAAGUCGAGCGAAGCGGGGACGGGUGAGUAACACGUGGAUAACCUCCUAUAAUACUGGGAUAACUUCGGGAAACCGGAGCUAAACCGGAUACUUAUAGAUGGAUCCGCGCUGCAUUAGCUAGUUGGUAAGGUAACGGCUUACACAGGGAACGAUGAAUAGCCGACCUAAGAGGGGAACCGGCAACACGGGAACUGAAACACGUACAAGACACCACCGGGAGAGAGAAGUAGUGAAUCUUGCGAAAUGAGCGAAAGCCGGACGGAGCAACCACGGGUGAGUGAUCAAGGGCUGCGGAUCGUAAAACUCUGUGAUUAGGAAACCGGUACCUAAUCAGAAAGCCACGGCUAACUACGUGCCAGCAGCCGCGGUAAUAC